CAAAUGACCUCUCACCCAUGCUCCUGUAUGUAACACUAAUAAAACUCCCUCCCUCCCAAAUGGGGAUGUGAAAGGGGACCUAGCUGGGGGGGCGGGGCAGAAAGAUUGAUGGGAAAGGGAUAAUGUUCUUGUACGUGGUAAAGAUUUGUCACUCAUAUUGGCUUAAUAAAACACAGGCCAGCAGCCAGACAGGAAGUAUAAGUGGGGUGACCAGAAAAAGAGAAUUCUGGGAAGAGUCAGUCAUCAGCCAGACGCAGAGGAAGCAAGAGGAGAAUGUCUCUCUGUGAAAAGAGGUUCCAGGGACUAAACUCAAGACAUGGGCUGGGCAGCAGACACCUCUGCCCAGUGAACAAUCUCACUGACUCCUGAGUUUGACUGGGAACUUACAAUUUUUCUGCUUAAGCUUCCAAAGCACCAAGAUUACAGGCACAGGACACCAUGUGCAGCCUUGUCACUACUGAAGGAGUCUUUUGCCUUGGAAGUAUGCAGCAAGUGGCCUCACAAAUUCUUCAUUGACUAGGCACAUAUAUACGGUGAUUCUUAACUGCACAGGAUGAGUCAUUUGUAUGAAAAGCAACUACAGAGGGCUGGAGAGAUGGCUCAGGAGCUGAAAGUGGACACUGACCACUCCUGCAGACGACCUGACUUCGGCUCCUGGGCUCACAAACACCUCUAACUCCAGCUCUGGUGGAUCUGAUGCCCUGUCCAGUCUUCGGGGCUGCUGAUCUUCCAGGAAGAGUUCUGACUCAAGAGUGUUCACGACUAGUCACCAUACCUAUAGAAGUCAGUAUUAAGUGACCCCAGAAUCCAAUGUGGGAGAAUUUCUUCCUUAUCUGUAUUGAAGAAUAAGCAGGCGACCAAGCUCUAUAGUAAUCACCAGAAGCAAAAAUGAAAGUGAAGAAGAGAGCUAACGGUUUAGUUUUGAGAGAACUACCUGUCAGGGUAUUAACAAAAGAGCAUCCACUAAAUUAAACUACGUCCCCACUUGGUUUUACUCCAUAUCAGUGAUUUUUCCCAAAUACUGAUUUUUAGCAAUAAGGAAUCAAGAGUCAUAGGACGGUGGUGACACAUGCCUUUAAUUCCUGCACUCGGGAGGCUGAGACAGGUGGAUCUUUGUGAGUUCGAGACCAGCCUGAUCUAAAAGAGCUAGUUCCAGGACAGGCUCUAAAGCUACAGAGAAGCCCUGUUUUGAACACCCCGCCCACCCAAAAGGCAUUAAGAGUCAAAAGGCUCCAGACACAUAUGUACCUAAGGAAACACAGCUUUAAAGGAGCCAAGGCUACUGGUAGGCACUGCCACUGAAGAAAAUACAGAGCCAUCCACAGCGAUGUCUAUACAAGAGAAAACAACAGGCCAGACUUUUAGUACUUUAGAAAUUGUACUAAAACGUACAAUUUCUGCCCCAUUUUAAAAUAAAACCGCCCAAACUUAAACAUAAACAGGUGUCUAGUAGCAAAUCUUUCACAUCUUUUUAAAUUUAAUUUCUACCAGAGUUACAGGCUUUUGUUGAAAUGAUGAUAUUAAGACUAUGUCUCUUAAGUAGACCUUCUCAAAGGAUAGCAUCUAAUGAUUAUGAUUUUUAAUAAAAGUUGGGUCAAUUUUAUAAUAUACCCCAUCCUUCCACACUGCGUUUAGAAGGGAGAAUGCUAAUGCUUCAGGCACAUAGAAUUUUUCCUACUUUGAUCCCCAAAUGUUAAAAAAGGCCAGGAGUGAAGUGUGUUAAAGAGCACUGUCUGUAAAGCCAGCGACCCUUCAGGUAAGGAUCCAUGUCUCACAGGCAGUGUGCAGAACUGGGCUGCGUAAAGUCUUUCUGCAGGAAACUGUGCCACCUAGUGUCAAAAACUGUCCAUACAUCACACAAGAUGAGAUUAAAUUUUAGCCAGUGGAAUUAUUUCUUUUUUGCUGUUGCUGAGAUAGGGGCUCAUGUAGGUUAGUGUACUCUAGAACUUCUCAUGUAGCUGAGGGGCCUCCAAUGUGCUGAGAUUAUAGGCAUGUGCCACCAUACUCAGUUUUCUUAUUUAAAUAUAAGACUUUAUAAAUCCUUAACAGCACACAAUAGACUAUAUAAUCACCUUCUUGUCUGAUUUUUUUUU
Alexandromys fortis (reed vole) is the source of this 2093-nucleotide long non-coding RNA. RefSeq lists it as uncharacterized. The transcript is spliced from 5 exons. Lineage: Eukaryota; Metazoa; Chordata; Mammalia; Rodentia; Cricetidae. The record is from RefSeq and is a predicted model, not a curated record.